GACGAACGCUGGCGGCGUGCCUAAUACAUGCAAGUCGAGCGCUGAAGGGUGGUACUUGUCCCAACUGGAUGAGCAGCGAACGGGUGAGUAACGCGUGGGUAACCUGCCUUUGAGCGGGGGAUAACAUUUGGAAACGAAAGCUAAUACCGCAUAAAAACUUUAAACACAAGUUUCAAGUUUGAAAGAUGCAAUUGCAUCACCUAAAGCUGAUCCCCCGUUGUAUUUGGUAGUUGGCUAGGUAAAGGCCCACCAAGGCGAAGAUACAUAGCCGGCCCUGAGAGGUGGAUCGCCCAAAUGGGAACUGAGACACGGUCAAGCCUCCUACGGGAGCAACAAGAGGGGAACUUUGGGCAAGGGGCGAAGGCUUGACGAAGAAAGGCCGGGUGGUGGAGGAAGGUCUCCGGUCGGUAAAAUCCGUUGAUAGGGGAGGACGUUGGGGAGAGUGAAAAGUUCAUCAAGUGACGGUAACUACCCAGAAAGCGACGGCUAACUACGUG
RNAcentral lists this ribosomal RNA (497 nucleotides) under uncultured bacterium. RNAcentral's name for it is "partial 16S ribosomal RNA". It matches the Rfam family "Bacterial small subunit ribosomal RNA", at positions 28 to 507 of the family's 1533-position model. The record is from RNAcentral.